Molecule: transfer RNA, 72 nt
Filed under: Camelus bactrianus (Bactrian camel)
Lineage: Eukaryota; Metazoa; Chordata; Mammalia; Artiodactyla; Camelidae
Also listed under: 2 other names
Rfam family: tRNA
About the family: Transfer RNA (tRNA) molecules are approximately 80 nucleotides in length.
Source: Rfam by way of RNAcentral
AGGGUAAUAGCUCAGUGGUAGAGCGUGUGCUUAGCAUGCACGAGUUCCUGCAUUCAAUCCCCAGUACCUCCA